UCCCGAGGGCGAUCCCGAAGGCGGGUCCGAGCCGUUCACGACGGCUUCCGGCGGUUCGGCGCCGCCCUCGCCGGC
Molecule: transfer RNA, 75 nt
Filed under: Virgisporangium aurantiacum
Lineage: Bacteria; Bacillati; Actinomycetota; Actinomycetes; Micromonosporales; Micromonosporaceae
Description: tRNA-Val
Source: RNAcentral